Hyla sarda is the source of this 1137-nucleotide long non-coding RNA. RefSeq lists it as uncharacterized. The record is from RefSeq and is a predicted model, not a curated record. The transcript has 6 exons. NCBI's taxonomy places the organism in Eukaryota, Metazoa, Chordata, Amphibia, Anura, Hylidae.
UCCUCCACAAUACAAUCUAUCAGUAGCACAAACUCCAAACCAUUUCUUUAGUUAUUUUUUAAACCAUACUCCUACUGAAGCCAUAGACACGGCCGCCAGUAAAAUUUCUACCUGAUCGCAGUAACUUCGGCAGCUACCCAUGUGACACGGAGCCGUCUUGAUUACACCAACCGUGCCCUUACCAGCUCCAGCGAGCCUGCAUGACAUGACACGACAACCUGCGUGACACGGAGCUAAUAUAACAAAGAAUCUGACCUGUAUCACCGUGGGUGACGCGCAGACCCGCAUCCGACACUGAGGCAGCCGAUGGGGCUGUGCCAGAAGCCAGGAUCACAUCACCCAGAGUAAACUCGGCAGACAGGCAGGUGUUCAAGUUGCAGCCUUCCUUGUCAUAAAGCAUGGAAAACCUUGUGUUUUUGGCCACUCCAGUUAUUGAAGAUAAAGGCAGGAAUGGAGAAGUUUUUCCUUAAUACUGUAUAUGCCUUGCAUUCAUGAUAUAUACCCCUGGCUUUGCAUGCAAUCAUUUUAAUGAAAACUGAGAAGGAAGAACACAAUGGAUGGACCAUCAAUGAUAAUAAGCUUUUCUAAUGGGCAUACAUGAAGAGUUGCAGUGUUUCUGGGUAUUAUAUAUCUUCAUGCACUGCAGAUCCAUAAUAGCAAGAGACAGCUUCAGUACCCAAUCAGCAACCUUUCAAAGAACAGGGGAGACGAAAAAAUCUUCUUGACACAGUUUUUUGUUCCAAAAUUGCAUUAGCACUCCAAGGCCAUGUUCAUGUGGUGGAAUUUUUUCAGAUUGUUUGUAUAAAAAACUUUUGUUGGACAUUCUGCCAACAUCAGGUGCUGAUAGAAUAUGCCAGUGCUAGGACUGCACAGAGAUGAGUCGUCUUCAUAGACGGCAGUUCAUUAUGAAGCGGACUCCGCAGAAAUAGGGGACACAUCAAUUAUUUUUGUAGGAGCCAGAUUUGGAAUUUGUGUGACAGAUAUUCCUCCUGUGGAAAUUACCAGUGACAACAAUAACAUUCUGCAGCAAUGGAAUAUCCGGGCAGAUUUUGUAUGCCAGAUUCCACUCGGAAAUUCUGUGGUGUGAACAUGGCAUAACAGUACAUAGGUUAUACUAAAUACAAUGGAGAAUCUUGU